AAUCAAGUGCCUUAAGGGUGUUCGGUGGAUGCCUUGGCGCUGAGAGGCGAUGAAGGACGUGCUACGCUGCGAUAAGCCGUGGGGAGCUGCGAAGAAGCUUUGAUCCAUGGAUUUCCGAAUGGGGAAACCCACCUUCGAUAGCCGGAACUCCAAGACCUUUGUCGAAAGACAUUGGUGUGGGGUUCGAACAGAAAUGUGAGAAGCCUAAGCCUUUAGAUUUCGAUCGAAGAGGUUUUGGAUUUCCGGUUAUCAAGAGAAGGUAUGAGACUUCUGAAUACAUAGGAGGUUUCAAGCAAACCCAGGGAACUGAAACAUCUAAGUACCUGGAGGAAAGGACAUCAACAGAGACUCCGUUAGUAGUGGCGAGCGAACGCGGACCAGGCC
Molecule: ribosomal RNA, 384 nt
Filed under: Bradyrhizobium japonicum
Lineage: Bacteria; Pseudomonadati; Pseudomonadota; Alphaproteobacteria; Hyphomicrobiales; Nitrobacteraceae
Description: bacterial LSU rRNA
Rfam family: Bacterial large subunit ribosomal RNA
Source: RNAcentral